UCAAGGUUUGAAAACAUGCUUGAUACUCAUGAAAUAUGUUGAGGGUUAAAAAAACAAGAUCCCAGACAUUAAAAAAAUUCUAAUAAUAAAGUCAUUAUUUAGUUAUUUCAAUUUUCAAUUUGAAACUAUUUGAAUUUCCCACCACACACAACUUUAGAUUAGUUCCACAUGUGGCCGCUAGGGAUUUUUUGAUGACGUAGGUCGUGUCAGUCAGAACAAAGCAAGAUGGCUUCCGCAUACAGUUCAGAGAGUGAGAGCAGUGAAUUUGAGGAUGUUUUGGUCGAUACAGAAGGAUAUUUAAACGUUGAGCCAUACAUGUUCGAGCCAUUGAUAUCACUAGAUCAUAAUGAGAGUGAUCAUUCGGACGAAAGUGAUGAGGAAGUGGAGGAUGAACGCCCUGAACGUGCAGGCAACAGAAAAUGGUGUGACUGUGGAAACUGCACAGCUCAAAUCACUGGAACAGAGUCGAUGUGCUGCAGUGACUAUUCCCCAGUUCUGGCCAAGAAGGAAAGUUAUGAGCCAGAUGGAGUUGCCUGCAUAACUCUGCAUCCCGGAUUCGCAAGCAACUGCCUUGACUGAUAUGUCCUGGAAAGUGCCAUGUAUGAAUUUAUCCAAGAUCAAGGGCCAAUAGGAAAUGAUCAGCCAAUGCACAAGUUAUGGAGAUACCUUGCAUACCGCAGAUUUGUGCGCUGGUGCUGGCAACGUUUGGGCAAAAAGC
Molecule: long non-coding RNA, 718 nt
Organism: Lineus longissimus
Lineage: Eukaryota; Metazoa; Nemertea; Pilidiophora; Heteronemertea; Lineidae
Exons: 3
Source: RefSeq, a predicted model, not a curated record